This is a long non-coding RNA of Populus trichocarpa (black cottonwood), 1209 nucleotides long. RefSeq lists it as uncharacterized. The record is from RefSeq and is a predicted model, not a curated record. Lineage: Eukaryota; Viridiplantae; Streptophyta; Magnoliopsida; Malpighiales; Salicaceae. The transcript has 2 exons.
GAUGCCCAUUUAACAUUGCAUAGUUUUUUCCCUCCUUCCUCCUAAGAACCAAAGAAAGAAUAUAUGAUAUGUUUCUCAAUUUUGGUAGCGACAGUGGAAGUGAUAGGAAAUAGAGAAAGGUUGCAGAUAGGGAGAUUAUUUAUAAUUGAUUUAAGCAAGCACACUCUCUCACCAAUAGAUAAGUGCCAACUUGCUAUUGAUUCUAUUAACAAUAGUUUUCCACAUGAGAUGAAGAUGCACAAAUAGGCAGGCCCAAAUACUUAAAUGGCAUCCCCUCCAUCCUACAUAUUAGAUUGCUAGCAGUUGAAGAAGAAACAAUAGUUCUAGUGAUUGAGCUCUUGCGGAAAUUAACCUUCAGCCUAGAAAUCAACUCAAAACAUUACAUAGUUCUUUUGAUGUUUUGAAGAGAUGGAAAAUCAUAUGAACUGAAGAUGAGUGUAUCAUCUACAAACUGAAAGUGACCAAAACAAAUACCUUUUAUAAGUCCCAAAUCACAUCUCUUUUUAGCAUUCUACUAAGACCCUCAGUUGCUAUAUUGAAAAGAGAUGUUGACAAAGAGUCCCCUCUUCGCAAUCCCUUUCCCAUAAAGAACUCUUUAGUUGGAGAGCCAUUCACAAGAAUUGAAAGUUUUGUUGUCGAAAUACAUUAUUGUAUCCAUCAUCUCCAUCGUGAACCAAAACCCACACAAGCCAUAACUGUUGAAAUACCUGGGCAGUAAUUGUUGUGCGUGGUCUAGGAUCGUGUGCGAUACCACUGAAAGGCCAGUGACCCAACUCUCUCUUGGGGGUGCUGGGGAUUGGGGGUUAGGCGAGUGGGUUCUCAACGCAUCUUUGUUUCUGCCUUUUAAAGAAUUGCAAAGUCUUGAUUUGAAGGCUAAUGAAUUAGCUGGGUGCCUCUGAGAAUCAAGCAGGCUUCGGAGUGUUGAAGCCUUGUAUUAAAUUCGCUGGUUCUCCAACUUCAGAGGAUCUUAGCAUGGGAGCACUGAAUUUGUUGUGGUUGCUGGUGGGGGAAUCAGUGGUUUGCUUCUUGCAUUCUUGGCCCAAAAUUGUGUUAGUUCGAAACUUGUCGGCAAUUUUCUUGAUUGUGUCCAGCUAAUGGGUGCUUUUUAGUGUGUUGACCUCAUAGCUUAGCCUUAUUGUUGAUCGUUUCAAUAGAGAAGUGUUGUAACUAUAUUUAUCUUUGGAAUCCUAAAUCAGUCUUGUUUAAUUA